RNAcentral lists this long non-coding RNA (4013 nucleotides) under Gallus gallus (chicken). Lineage: Eukaryota; Metazoa; Chordata; Aves; Galliformes; Phasianidae. The record is from RNAcentral.
GACGGCACAGGAGCACAGGAGCACGUCGCGCGCUCACCCCACAGAUCACCCCUCUGAUUCACACCGAACGGAGCACGAGGCGGCCGAGCACACCGGAGAGCGCUCACAACUUCCCUCACAAACUUCUCCGCGACCUCCGCGCCCAACUUCCCGCACCGCUCACGUGCGGCACCCAAAGCCACAAACUUUCCUCCCGGGGCCCCGCAGCCCCAGGCCGGACCGCCGCCCCCUCCCCCCCCCAACCCCGGGCCGGGCCCUGCGGACCCCCACGCCGCCCUCCCGGCCCCGUACCUCUGCAGCUCCGCUCGAUGCCUUUUUCCCCCUUUUUAUGUAUUUUUUUCCUCUCUCUCUUCUCCCUUUCCCCUCCCCCCUCCGCCAGAAGUAAAUAUGUACGGAGGGGAACGGGGGGAGGGGAGCGCUCCUCUUUACACAAAUCGAGCUAAAAAUAGGCGAUCCGGCACCCGCCUCGCCAUGGCUCCUUUCUUUAAUUCACCCCCAACGCCUCAACGCCGCCUUUCCCCCCCUAAAAGCCCCCAAAACGCGGCCCGGUGGGGGAGGGGCGGCCAGCAGCGCGGGGAGGGGGAAGGGACGCGGGGACCACCCCGCACCCCGCGGCCACGCGCACCCCCACGACGCCCCCAAAGCCCCCCGAAUCGGCCCCGAAGCGGCGCCCAUCCCCCGGCGCUUACCUGGGCGGCGGCGCUCCCCGUCCCCGGGAGCGGAGGCGCGAGAGGAAUCCGCCCGCGUCCGCCUCUCCUCCGUGGUUGUUUUUAUACGGCCAUAGAGACAGACGGGCACAUGUCUGUGUGUGUACACACCGAGAGGUUUGUUUAUUUUUUUGUUGAUCGAAACCACGUUCAUCGCUGGGUGGGCCUUUCCAUCGCACACUGCUUUUGCAGCAGCAUUUCGUGCUCCGGGGCAUUGGUCCCACACUCAUCGGCACUGCAGGGACCGCAAACCACCACGGGCCCCACUGCAGCACCAGGGCCUGUAUGAGGCUCCCACCAAGGCAGGGCUCAGAUGGACCUCCACAACACCGCCCUUCUGCGUAGUGGCCAAAGCGGGACCUCCGUGUCUUUCUGCAGAAUACGCUUCCACCAGGCCUGGCUCAAUAGGACUGUGGACACACGGGCCACAGACGUAGCUUCUUUUUGUUUAAUAUCUCAGAAUUGCAGGAGGAUCGCACUUGUUCUAACUCUGGAGCUAAGGGUGUGUUUCACUUGCAGCCUAACCCAGGCAGAUUUCGCUACCUGAGCUUCAGCUCCCAAGCAGAUGGGACUCUUCUGCUCCAUAAGAUCGUGAUGAAAGCAGACAGGGUGGGGCUGUGGGUGCAGCAGCACCUCGCAGUGCUCAUUUUUAGAGCCACGUCCAUGGGCUUCUCUUUGUUUUAGAAGAAGAAUAUUUAAAUUUUGCAGAAAGCAAGUUGGAGUUUUUUUGCAUCGCAAAGUUGUUUAAUUCUGAGAAAACCGUGGGCCUUCAAUCCGGUUGCUUAAAGAAGACUGAAGUGUCUAGAAAGCUGGGCAGCGUGUUUGUAAUGGCAAACCGCUCAACCUUUAUUUCUGUAAUCGCUUUGAUGGCAGAGCGGACAACUUUCUCUUCUCAGUGCUGGUGUGUAGGCUGUAAGGAUGCAGUAAGUUUAUGAAGUCCAACAGCAGAAUUUCAGAGGUCGUUGUCAUCUGAAGGCGAGACGUGAGCUGUUUGCUGAAGGUUGGGAAAUGUAAGAAGGGGAGGAAGAAGUGGCGAGAGACUCGCUCACACCUUCCUGUGUUAUCAUCUCAGAUGUACCCGUGCUUCUAAAGGAGUUUAACCUCUCGGUACUCGGAAGGACUUAUUUCCUAGUUAAGAGCAGAUAAGGAGUAAGGGUGGGUGGAGGAAGGGGGAAUGGGAACUUGCACGUAGCCUGAGGCAGAAGGAAAGACGAUAAGGGACCUCAUGUAGAGGACUGCCCUGAAGGAGGACGUGGCAGGGGCUGCAAAACAAGAUAGCAAUAGGAGAUUUAAGCCCAGAAAUGAGGGAGGGAAAACCCCUCAAGUGUGCCUUGUUUGGCCCACAGAAACUGCAAACACUGCCUUCCCAUCCAUCUGCCGAGCAGCGACAACAUGCUGAGCUGAAGUCAUCUGGCUGAAGGUUUCUGUGGUCUCCUGUUCACCAAAUGUUCAGUCACAACUCCAGCAUGCCAGGCUUUCACUUUCGAUUAUCGCGCACUGAGCUGGCGAUUACCUGCGUGCAUGUUCGGCCCUGCAGAAUCCGCGAAGUGCAUUCUGGCAGAUGUAUGCUGCAGUAACGUUCCCCCUUCCAUUUUGUUCCAUUUUCUCUUACUUUACUAUGGCCCCAGCUCAGUGAACACCUCACGAGCCCGCACAGGGCAUUACUUCGUGCUGCCACUUUCCAUGGUCUCGUCACCUCAACUUCUGGGAAGUCUUCUCACAGCCAUAUUUAUAAGGCAUAUCCUUAAAAUAGCUGAAAUUACUUGUAACAGUGAGUGCUCGGCCUACUAAGCACAUACAAGCAAAUAUUUGCAAUAACUGGACCGGUGUUUGCACAGCACCGAGCGCACCGCCUGGACUCCAUAAAUAAUAAUACUUGGCACUCACAGAGGGGUUUCCAUUUUCAAGGCACUUUAGUCAUAACCCUUGACACCUAUAUGGCCUUUUACAUCUUUACAAGAAUUAAUUAAUCCUCGCAGUGUCCUGUGAGAUAGGUAUGCAUUGCAGUAAUAACAAUAACAACAAUUAAUAAUUCAUGCAUUCUACUCGAAAAUCACUUCAGGGAUUAAAAUGCGUCUGUAAUACUAGGGGUUUUUUCAUUAACAUUUUCCAGCAAAUAAUAAAAUCCAUGGUAUUGUGUUAAAUCUGUAUAGUGUCUAACCAUAAAUCUUCUACAGACUGGGACGAAGCUGAAGGCCGAGCGAGAUGCCAGAACAUCAGCACGAAUUAGAUUACUGAGUUCAGAAAAGCAAGCUUGAGCCCAGUCCACCACGCAGCUUAGGUGCCAGAACGAAACUUCCCAUGUAUGGCAGUGCAUAAAUAAAUACGAGCGACCCAGGAAUGUUCUUCGUUCAUUUUUAGCUCUUGUUUAUGCAAAGACUCUCCUGGUUACAGCAUGCAUUGUAUUACCCUGUGCUGCAAGAACACAGCACCGGUGAUACGCUCUUACUGGGUGAGAAAUGACAGUGACUCAGCAGCGCGUUGUGCAACGGGGAGACCAGGGACAAGUCUGGCCAAUACUGGGGCAAACUUUCCCUCCUAAAAAUUACCAUGCUGCCUUUGAUAUGCAGGCGAGUGCCAGUUAAACCUGAUAUUUAAAUCUUGUUGGCUUUAAUAGCAGAAAUGAGCUGCUCCCACCGCACCUGGCUGCGGGUUUGCUGGCACAGGGCGAUGGUGCCUAUCGAGGGAAAUGGAAGCUCACCACUUUGAGAUCCACGAAGCAGCCGUUAGCCACAUGGUCACGGCAAAGCUGCAUUCAUGGCAGAGUUCUGACUCCCAUCUCGCAUCCUGCAAUGGCCGAGCAAAUCCAAACUUGUUUUACUUUAACAACAUUACGAAAAAGGGUGCGGUACUGGCAGCUAUCACACACCUCUGAAGUUUCAAGUGAGACAUACCUGGCUGCAGCUUCAGAUCAAAACGGAUUAUCUCACGGCACCAGGAUGUGGUUGCAAAAAUUCAGUGUUUUAAGUGUCAUCGUGAUUCAUAAAACAGUCUACAUUACGUGGUAUAAUUACUAAAUAAAAGUACAAGCACAAAAGGCGCAAAAUCUACUAGAUAUUUACCGUUAUCACUAUCACAUCAUAUUUGAAUAUUUCCUGGCAGCACAGGAGUGCAGCCAAUUUGAAGAGAAGUCCUCUUCCUUGCCAAUACUUAAGCCCCUGCUUUUCUCUCAUUAUACCUACGUUGUUCUCCUUCUCCACACGAGCAGAGGACUGGGAGCCAGGACUGUUUGCUCUCUAAUCAGAGUCCUGAAAGGCUCCUCAUGUGGCCUUCAGCAAGCUGUUUAUUAUCAGUGCAUGAGCUUCC